RNAcentral lists this ribosomal RNA (504 nucleotides) under uncultured bacterium. RNAcentral's name for it is "partial 16S ribosomal RNA". It matches the Rfam family "Bacterial small subunit ribosomal RNA", at positions 29 to 523 of the family's 1533-position model. The record is from RNAcentral.
AUUGAACGCUGGCGGCAGGCCUAACACAUGCAAGUCGAACGGUAGCACAGAGAGCUUGCUCUCGGGUGACGAGUGGCGGACGGGUGAGUAACGUCUGGGAAACUGCCCGAUGGAGGGGGAUAACUACUGGAAACGGUAGCUAAUACCGCAUAACGUCGCAGGACCAAAGUGGGGGACCUUCGGGCCUCACACCAUCGGAUGUGCCCAGAUGGGAUUAGCGAGUAGGUGGGGUAAUGGCUCACCUAGGCGACGAUCCCUAGCUGGUCUGAGAGGAUGACCAGCCACACUGGAACUGAGACACGGUCCAGACUCCUACGGGAGGCAGCAGUGGGGAAGAUUGCACAAUGGGCGCAAGCCUGAUGCAGCCAUGCCGCGUGUAUGAAGAAGGCCUUCGGGUUGUAAAGUACUUUCAGCGGGGAGGAAGGCGGUGAAGUUAAUAGCUUCACCGAUUGACGUUACCCGCAGAAGAAGCACCGGCUAACUCCGUGCCAGCAGCCGCCGUAA